This is a long non-coding RNA of Heterocephalus glaber (naked mole-rat), 1327 nucleotides long. The record is from Ensembl. NCBI's taxonomy places the organism in Eukaryota, Metazoa, Chordata, Mammalia, Rodentia, Bathyergidae.
CACAAAACAAAUCCCAUUAUUCAGAUCCUAUUUGCAUAUAGUUCAUGAUCACACUCACUCAGACACAAUGUGUCAAGAACUGACCUCUCCACAGAGACGGAUUUAGCUGCUCUUCUCAGUGGGGCCCCAUAUAUGCUUUCCUGAGAAGCAAUGACGGAAAUAGAGGAAUGAAAAAGAAGGGUAAGAAAAAAACAACAAAGAAAAAAGAAGGUGAGAAUUCCAUUUUGGUGGUAUUAAAAAGAGGUGAAGAGGCCCACCAUACCAUUGGUAAGUGCACACAGAUCCUGAGGAGCAGCUGUCUGGAUCGGAGUGGGUGCAGCUGCAAGAGGAUCCCAGCCAGGGCUCCCCUACCCCCACACCAGAGUCUCAGGCACACCUGCCCAAGCCAAAGGCUUCCCAGAAAAGAGCUGCACAGGUGCACAAGCUUCAGCCAGAGACCCGCCAUACCAUCUCCCACAGUCAAGGACUUGCUUGGAAAAGACCUACACAAGCACACAGGCAACAGCUAGAGGCUCACCCCGACAUGAUUGAUAAGUGCAUGGAGACCCUAGCCAGAAGCCUGCACAGACAACAGGAACUGGAGUGCACAUCCCAAAACCAAAGGACCUCCCAGACAACAGCUACAUAGAGGCCCCAGUGAAAGGCACACAUAGAUACCAUCCUAAGUGUGCACAGGCCCCAGCCAGAAGCCCACCCAGAAAACAAGUCAGCUCAGGGAUCCAGAAGGCCACCACUCUGAACCCAGGAAUUGGUGUACUGGUGAGCAGCAAAUUAAAGGCUGCUUGGUGGCUUGCUGAGAAUUGAAGACCACUCGGGGAGCAAAGAGUCACCUCAACAAAAGCACAGCAGGCUGCAUCUGUUGAAAUGAGAAGACAUGUAAAUAAGUCUCAAAACCAGACUUCCAGAUCAUCUAAGGCAAACCCAAAGGGCGACAAGAUGGAACAAUUUGAUACUCAAAAACCUGGACUCCCUAACUGGCAACAAAAGAGGACCUGGAAAAAAUGAAAUCAGAAAUAAUUUCUCAGAUAACAGCAGAGAUUGUGUCCAUAGUAGAAGGCAUGAUUAAUAAAACUGAAGCAGACACAGAUAAAAAAUAGAGGAGCUAAGGAACAUGAAGGAAUACCAAUGUAGGAAACAAGUGGAAUCCAUAAAACAGAUGCAAACAGAUUUCCAGGAGAUUAAAAACUCCAUUGAAAGUGUAAGCAGCAGAAUGAGCCAAUGUGAAGACAGAAUUUCAGAUAUAGAAGAUAGGAUUGCAAUUAAUGACCAAGAAAAAAAAAUUUCUUAAAAAUAGUAAUGAACCACAAGAAAUCAAUCCAGCACCUGG